UGGCCGCUGGUGCUCGCGGAGCAGGGCGGGGCCUCGCGGCGGAGGCGGGGCGGGGCAACGGAGCCCUCAGGGGUGGGACGGGGUUGCUCCGCCCGUCUUCUCGCGCUGCGGGCCGUGGCGGUAGCGCCCGGUGGUGCCGUCGGGCUCUGCUGCCGUGCUGCUGCGGCUGAGAGGAAAGUGUCACAUAACGGGUCUGUCGUCUCACGUCCGAGGUGUGCCACCAUAGGUGUUCAGCCGCCGAAGCGAGACAGCAGCUCAGAAAAGCACUCAGUUCUACACUAGGUUCUUCUCGAUUUGCUUUAGGAGUUGGUGCGUUGUGAGGGGAGGCUGAUGCUAACGACGCUGUCCUGGCCUGGAGUGCACUUGUGGUCCUCUCACGUUUGUCCUCACGUUUCCUCUAGUCCUGCUCACCCCUGUAAGAGAUCCUAAGGGACGCCAGGGAACUCCGGAGACCAUUAGGUCUCCGCAGCACUGCAGAGCACUUGGAGACACACUUCUGUGUGUGGCUUUGGUUUUAUCCUCUUCAUGUUCCUAACUAUACGAAAAGCUGAGGGCGCCCUGCUGAGGGGGAGAGAGGGGAAGAGAAUGAAUCUAAGGGAGCAGGAAAAAAACCCUGUACUUCUGUAAGGGCAUUCUUGUUCUUCAGAGAUCACUCCAGAGACCUUGCUCUUAAUGGAGUUCCCUUAAAGGGACUAAAUGCCUCCACACUGCAGGAAGGUGGAUCUGCUUGGAAGCCAGGGCUCCGAAGUGCUGAUGUUGACCUCUAUGGGGACAUAGAAUAUAGCCCACAUUAAGGGUCCUUGAACUCUUCUGUGAGGUCUGCCACCUGAAGUUUCCUUUUAUGGGAUGCACAAAAUUCUUGGGAAAGAAACAGGGGCUCUGGAGUGUGAAGAAAAUAAUGAGUCUCUGAAAUAUUUCAGCGGAGUUAUUCUGCUGUUCUUUUUCAUCCUCUCUCAUGUUCCACCACCUUUAAUUGCAUCUUUCUCCUUUUUAGGGAUACAGUGCUGCCUUGUAGCACCAGUGAUAUCCUCAUUGCCAAUUAGAAUACAAACAGACAGAAAACAAUGAAACUGUCUUUGAAUUCUACACUUUAGAGACGUUCCUCCUUUUUUGAGUCCUCAAAGCUGUAAGCUGUUUUGCAUUCAAGCUUCUGCAGCAUGUAGUACUGAAAAAGUAAAAUUCUCCUUAAAAUAAGUAAUUCUUAGCAACUUCAAGCAGAAUCAAAAUUUUAUGAUGUGUUACAAUGCAUCAAAAAUCCAUUCUCCAAUAAAGACCAUGAAUAAGUAUUUUUAAAAUUAACAUAAAAUUGUAUGAUCCAAAUUUCUGUCAUGAUGUCUUUUUAGAAUUAGAGAAAGAAUAAUGCAAUUGAGCACAUUCAAAUGUUUUUUUCUUGAUUCUAGAUGGCCUCUGGAGUCCACUGCAUGAGAACUGUAUGGAGAUGAAUGCUGUAGGAUGCCCAGGGACUUUGAUCACUAAUGCCUAACACAGCUGGCUGCUGCAGGAAGUGAUACCGCAGGAAUCAACAUGAUUUCCUGCCCAAGCAUGCCAGACCACCAGCAUAGCCUUUCCUUCAGAGGACACAGGUUGAGAGCUGGAAAUGUGACAUGAGGGAAUGAUUGUGCCAGAUAAUCAAGUAGGGUAAAACAUCUAAUCUCUUGGUUCAGUAAUAAACUCCAGAGUUCAGAUCCUGUGUUGGUUGCCAUUUACACCUAACAUCUGGACAUCCAGUACAUACAGGUGGAUAACUAGGUCCUUAGCCAAGCUGGAAGAAUAACUGAUGUGAUCAGGCUGCAGUAUUUCAUUUAGCAAUGUUUGUCAGUCUGUCUGCUGCUCAGCUGCUGAUGUUCACAGAAUUUAAAAAAAAUGUGUAUUUUUUUCAACUAGGCUUCCUCCUUCCACACUCUUGCCAAACUUAGUCAAAAUUAUCCAGCAGAUUAAAAAGUGGCUCGAGGGGACAAACAGACAACACGAUUACACAUGCCUCAAUCCCUUAGAAAACUAUUAGCAGGAACUUAGUAAUCUCAAACACUGUUGAUUUUCACUCUGCUCUCUGUAAUUGUGCAACACAGGAAAGGCAAAAAAGUUGCUUCAUACAGACCUAACAUUUAUUUAUGUGAAAGGUUUUGCAAUUAUACUUUAUUGUGUCUAAUUGCAGACCUGAGGCUCUUUUAAAAUUUUUGUGGUAUUAUAAGAAUGUCAAUUAUUUCCUCUUCCCAAUGCUGGAGAGUGGAGAUAAAAUACAAGGAUAUAGUUCUCGUAUCUAAGGGAGGUUUUGAGAAUGUUUAGGUGCAGACAUUAAAAUGCACAGAGAGCCAGUGUUUGGAUGACUUAAACGUUUGUUCCAUUCACUGCCCAUUCAGUUCCUUUAUAAUCAUUAACUGUAAAGACUGUCUUAUACAGUAUCAGAGAAGAUAAGUCAGGGCAAGAGCUACAAUUGUAACCACAGAGAUAUGAAUGUCUGCUUCUGAUAGGGGAAAAGAAAACUCCUCCAAAUAUGUUUGUGACACCAUCAAUUCUACAGUAUGUGUGUAUGUCACUGUUCCUGGUAGAUGGUGUGAAAGAAUCUGCGGCAAUGCAUAGUCAGCUUACAUGUAGACACACCUUGCACAUACAGCACACCUC
This is a long non-coding RNA of Serinus canaria (Common canary), 2622 nucleotides long. RefSeq lists it as uncharacterized. NCBI's taxonomy places the organism in Eukaryota, Metazoa, Chordata, Aves, Passeriformes, Fringillidae. The transcript has 3 exons. The record is from RefSeq and is a predicted model, not a curated record.